AAUCCUCUUUCCACCUCUUGGUGGGAGACUUGUCGGCUGUGCCCUUGGGUACUCUGAUUAAAUGUAGUAGGUUUGGAUCAGGCUGGUGGCCUGGGACACUAUGUGCUAGAGACGUCGCGUAUGCUGACGGUCUUCUCAUGGUGCGUCCUAGGCUAUUAAGCUGGCCUGGUUGAUCCCUCUCAGUCGUUCAAUCGAUCGACAACCCCACA
Molecule: unclassified non-coding RNA, 209 nt
Filed under: uncultured Rozellomycota
Lineage: Eukaryota; Fungi; Rozellomycota
Description: uncultured Cryptomycota sequence contains ITS2
Source: RNAcentral